Molecule: ribosomal RNA, 433 nt
Filed under: uncultured bacterium
Lineage: Bacteria
Description: partial 16S ribosomal RNA
Rfam family: Bacterial small subunit ribosomal RNA
Source: RNAcentral
AACGAACGCUGGCGGCAUGCCUAACACAUGCAAGUCGAACGAGACCUUCGGGUCUAGUGGCGCACGGGUGCGUAACGCGUGGGAACCUGCCCUUAGGUUCGGAAUAACUCCCCGAAAGGGGUGCUAAUACCGGAUAAUUUCUUCGGACCAAAGAUUUAUCGCCUUUGGAUGGGCCCGCGUUGGAUUAGCUAGUUGGUAGGGUAAAAGCCUACCAAGGCGACGAUCCAUAGCUGGUCUGAGAGGAUGAUCAGCCACACUGGGACUGAGACACGGCCCAGACUCCUACGGGAGGCAGCAGUGGGGAAUAUAGGACAAUGGGCGAAAGACUGAUCCAGCAAGGCCGCGUGAGUGAUGAAGGCCUUAGGGUUGUAAAGCUCUUUUACCCGGGAUGAUAAUGACAGUACCGGGAGAAUAAGCUCCGGCUAACUCCGUG